This 301-nucleotide ribosomal RNA is filed under the name uncultured bacterium. RNAcentral describes it as "partial 16S ribosomal RNA". It matches the Rfam family "Bacterial small subunit ribosomal RNA", at positions 509 to 807 of the family's 1533-position model. The record is from RNAcentral.
CAGCCGCCGCGGUAAUACGUAGGGUGCAAGCGUUAAUCGGAAUUACUGGGCGUAAAGCGUGCGCAGGCGGUUUGUUAAGACAGAUGUGAAAUCCCCGGGCUCAACCUGGGAACUGCAUUUGUGACUGGCAAGCUAGAGUGUGGCAGAGGGGGGUGGAACUCCGCGUGUAGCAGUGAAAUGCGUAGAUAUGCGGAGGAACACCGAUGGCGAAGGCAGCCCCCUGGGCCAACACUGACGCUCAUGCACGAAAGCGUGGGGAGCAAACAGGAUUAGAUACCCCGGUAGUCCCUGUCUCUUAUAC